Non-coding RNA from Theobroma cacao (cacao), 204 nucleotides. NCBI's taxonomy places the organism in Eukaryota, Viridiplantae, Streptophyta, Magnoliopsida, Malvales, Malvaceae. The record is from RefSeq and is a predicted model, not a curated record.
UGGACAUUCUAGAGAGAGAAAGAGAGACUUUCCACAUUUGUUUAGAAGCUAUUAGAAGAGAAUUCAGCUAAAAAGAAACCCUAAGGUUCCAACGAGGCCCCACAGCCCCAUUUAAACCAUUAGUGGAGGUUAAAGUCGAUUAGAGGUUCAACAAUAUCGAUCAGGAGGCAAUUGGAACCUAGGUCGAAGUGUCCAUGUAGUUUC